GUCAGAACGAACGCUGGCGGCGCGUCUUAAGCAUGCAAGUCGAACGGCAAGAGGUAGCAAUACCUCCUAGAGUGGCGGACUGGUGAGUAACACGUGGGUGACAUACCCUUCAGAUGGGGAUAGCUAUUAGAAAUAGUAGAUAAUACCGAAUACGAGCACAGGGGUUAGAGAUCUGUGAGGAAAGGAGCUAAGGCUCCGCUGAAGGAAUGGCCUGCGGCCCAUUAGCUAGUUGGUGAGGUAAGAGCCCACCAAGGCGAUGAUGGGUAUCCGGCCUUAGAGGGUGAACGGACACAUUGGGACUGAGAUACGGCCCAGACUCCUACGGGAGGCAGCAGCUAAGAAUAUUCCGCAAUGGACGAAAGUCUGACGGAGCGACGCCGCGUGGAUGAAGAAGGCCGGAAGGUUGUAAAAUCCUUUUGAAACUGAAGAAUAAGCGUUGUAGGGAAUGACAGCGUGGUGACAGUAGGUUUUGAAUAAGCAACGGCUAAUUACGUGCCAGCCGCUGC
RNAcentral lists this ribosomal RNA (506 nucleotides) under uncultured bacterium. Its description in RNAcentral is "bacterial SSU rRNA". It matches the Rfam family "Bacterial small subunit ribosomal RNA", at positions 23 to 518 of the family's 1533-position model. The record is from RNAcentral.